CAAAUAUUACCUCUGUCCUAAGAUUCUUGUCUUAGAUUUGUUUUACAUGUGGAUGUAUCUAACACUAAACGUGACUAGAUACAUUCGUAUUUAGAUAAAUCUAAGACAAGAAUUUUGGGACUGAGGAAGUAUACA
Non-coding RNA from Triticum urartu, 135 nucleotides. The record is from Rfam. Lineage: Eukaryota; Viridiplantae; Streptophyta; Magnoliopsida; Poales; Poaceae.